CGGCAACGGAUAUCUCGGCUCUCGCAUCGAUGAAGAACGAAGCGAAAUGCGAUACUUGGUGUGAAUUGCAGAAUCCCGUGAACCAUCGAGUCUUUGAACGCAAGUUGCGCCCGAAGCCAUCAGGCCGAGGGCACGCCUGCCUGGGCGUCACACGCCGUUGCCCCC
This 165-nucleotide ribosomal RNA is filed under the name Malus sieversii. RNAcentral describes it as "5.8S ribosomal RNA". The stretch from base 3 to 150 matches the Rfam family "5.8S ribosomal RNA". From Rfam's summary of the family: 5.8S ribosomal RNA (5.8S rRNA) is a component of the large subunit of the eukaryotic ribosome. It is transcribed by RNA polymerase I as part of the 45S precursor that also contains 18S and 28S rRNA. Lineage: Eukaryota; Viridiplantae; Streptophyta; Magnoliopsida; Rosales; Rosaceae. The record is from RNAcentral.